GGUGAGUAACACGUGGGCAACCUGCCUGUAAGACUGGGAUAACUCCGGGAAACCGGGGCUAAUACCGGAUAACUUCUUUCUUCGCAUGAAGAGAGGUUGAAAGACGGUUAUGCUGUCACUUACAGAUGGGCCCGCGGCGCAUUAGCUAGUUGGUGGGGUAACGGCCUACCAAGGCGACGAUGCGUAGCCGACCUGAGAGGGUGAUCGGCCACACUGGGACUGAGACACGGCCCAGACUCCUACGGGAGGCAACAGUAGGGAAUCUUCCGCAAUGGACGAAAGUCUGACGGAGCAACGCCGCGUGAGUGAAGAAGGCCUUCGGGUCGUAAAACUCUGUUAUCAGGGAAGAACAAGCAUCGUUUAACUGACGGUGCCNUGACGGUACCUGACCAGAAAGCCACGGCUAACUACGUGCCAGCAGCCGCGGUAAUACGUAGGUGGCAAGCGUUGUCCGGAAUUAUUGGGCGUAAAGCGCGCGCAGGCGGCUUCUUAAGUCUGAUGUGAAAGCCCACGGCUCANCCGUGGAGGGUCAUUGGAAACUGGGAGGCUUGAGUGCANAAGANGAGAGCGGAAUUCCACGUGUAGCGGUGANNUGCGUANAGAUGUGGAGGAACACCAGUGGCGAANNNGGCUCUCUGGUCUGUAACUAACGCUGAGGCGCGAAAGCGUGGGUAGCGAACAGGAUUAGAUACNNUGGUAGUCCACGCC
RNAcentral lists this ribosomal RNA (708 nucleotides) under uncultured bacterium. RNAcentral describes it as "bacterial SSU rRNA". It matches the Rfam family "Bacterial small subunit ribosomal RNA", at positions 105 to 801 of the family's 1533-position model. The record is from RNAcentral.